UUCCCCCUCCAAUGAAAAAUACCCCCAAUAAGUCUGACACCUUUUGGUUAUAUUAAUAAAGAUAUUUUUUCUUUAGACCCUACUACAAGUUUUCUGUUAAAGCAAACACACAAAAUGUUCAAUUGAUAACGGCAAUUGAGAACAACCAAAAAUGUCACGAGGAGUAUAUCUGAGACAAUCGAGUCCAGCCUCAACCCUUGGGAUGACUAUUGGAGGAAAUCCAAUGUAGGAUAUUUGGGCCCUA
This 244-nucleotide long non-coding RNA is filed under the name Elaeis guineensis (African oil palm). Its description in RNAcentral is "long non-coding RNA (EGUI_LNC012398)". The record is from RNAcentral. Lineage: Eukaryota; Viridiplantae; Streptophyta; Magnoliopsida; Arecales; Arecaceae.